AAACCAUUCUCCCCCCUUAGUACGGGCGACGGAAAAGGGAUACGAGGAGCUAUAGAGAAAGUACCGCAAGGGAAUGCUGAAAGAGAAAUGAAAUAACCCAGUAAAGCGCAAAAAAGCAGAGGUUCUUCCUCGUACCUUUUGCAUCAUGGCCUAGCCAGUAAGACUUAAGCAAAGAGCACUUUAGUUUAAGACCCCGAAACUAUGGUGAGCUACUCCGAGACAGCCUAUAAUAGGGCAAAUCCGUCUCUGUCGCAAAAGAGUGGAAAGAGCUCCGAGUAGAGGUGACAAACCUAUCGAACCUGGUUAUAGCUGGUUGCCUGAGAAAUGGAUAAGAGUUCAGCCUCAUGGCUUCUUCCCUUAAAACCUUGCCCUUCGGCCCAAGAAAAACAAAAGAAACCAUGAGAGUUAAUCAAAGGAGGCCCAGCUCCUUUGAUAAAAGAUACAACUUUCCUAGGAGGGUACAGAUCAUAUUCCCCUCAAGGCUUGGUGUCCUGGUGGGCCUAAGAGCAGCCAUCCAUGUAAAAAGCGUUAAAGCUCAAACACGUCAGCCUCCCUCUAAUAAUGAUAUUACAUCUUAACCCCCUUGAUCCUAUCAGGCCGUUCCAUACCCCUAUGGAAGCGAUUAUGCUAGAAUGAGUAAUAAGAGGGCACGACCCUCUCCCCGCACACGUGUUCAUCGACCCCGACCCACCAUCGAACUUUAACGGCCCCAAUAAUAGAGGGAAGUGAUUAACAAAAGAGACAACAGGACAAGCACUCAGCCACUUAACCCACCGUUGACCCCACACUGGAGUGCCACCCGGGAAAGACUAAAAGAAGAAGAAGGAACUCGGCAAACACCUAAAGCCUCGCCUGUUUACCAAAAACACCGCCUCUUGCAAGAUUAACGAAUAA
RNAcentral lists this ribosomal RNA (894 nucleotides) under Sillago sihama (northern whiting). RNAcentral describes it as "partial 16S ribosomal RNA". It matches the Rfam family "Bacterial large subunit ribosomal RNA", at positions 224 to 1841 of the family's 2925-position model. The record is from RNAcentral. Lineage: Eukaryota; Metazoa; Chordata; Actinopteri; Sillaginidae.